RNAcentral lists this transfer RNA (83 nucleotides) under Entomophthora muscae. RNAcentral describes it as "tRNA-Leu". It matches the Rfam family "tRNA". From Rfam's summary of the family: Transfer RNA (tRNA) molecules are approximately 80 nucleotides in length. Their secondary structure includes four short double-helical elements and three loops (D, anti-codon, and T loops). Further hydrogen bonds mediate the characteristic L-shaped molecular structure. tRNAs have two regions of fundamental functional importance: the anti-codon, which is responsible for specific mRNA codon recognition, and the 3' end, to which the tRNAs corresponding amino acid is attached (by aminoacyl-tRNA synthetases). tRNAs cope with the degeneracy of the genetic code in two manners: having more than one tRNA (with a specific anti-codon) for a particular amino acid; and 'wobble' base-pairing, i.e. permitting non-standard base-pairing at the 3rd anti-codon position. The record is from RNAcentral. Lineage: Eukaryota; Fungi; Entomophthoromycota; Entomophthoromycetes; Entomophthorales; Entomophthoraceae.
AAAAAAGUGGCCAAGUUGGUCUAAGGCGCCACAUUAAGGCUGUGGUCUCUUCAGAGGCAUGAGUUUGAAUCUCAUCCUGUUCA